UACAGGGGGUGCAAACGUUGCUCGGAAUCACUGGGCGUAAAGCGCACGUAGGCGGUUCGUUAUGUCGGAUGUGAAAGCCCUUGGCUUAACCGAGGAAGUGCAUCCGAAACUGGCGAGCUAGAGUACGAAAGAGGAUCGCGGAAUUCCCGGUGUAGAGGUGAAAUUCGUAGAUAUCGGGAGGAACACCGGUGGCGAAGGCGGCGAUCUGGGUCGAUACUGACGCUGAGGUGCGAAAGCGUGGGGAGCAAACAGG
Molecule: ribosomal RNA, 253 nt
Filed under: uncultured bacterium
Lineage: Bacteria
Description: partial 16S ribosomal RNA
Rfam family: Bacterial small subunit ribosomal RNA
Source: RNAcentral